GAACGGGACUCUUCGGAGUUUAGUGGCGGACGGGUGAGUAACGCGUGAGAAUCUGCCCUUAGGUUGGGGACAACAGUUGGAAACGACUGCUAAUACCCAAUGUGCCGAGAGGUGAAAGGUUAACUGCCUGGGGAUGAGCUCGCGUCUGAUUAGCUAGUUGGAGUGGUAACGGCACACCAAGGCGACGAUCAGUAGCUGGUCUGAGAGGAUGAUCAGCCACACUGGGACUGAGACACGGCCCAGACUCCUACGGGAGGCAGCAGUGGGGAAUUUUCCGCAAUGGGCGAAAGCCUGACGGAGCAAGACCGCGUGAGGGAGGAAGGCCUAUUGGUUGUAAACCUCUUUUGAUAGGGAAGAACACAAUGACGGUACCUAUCGAAUCAGCAUCGGCUAACUCCGUGCCAGCAGCCGCGGUAAUACGGAGGAUGCAAGCGUUAUCCGGAUUUAUUGGGCGUAAAGCGUCCGUAGGUGGCAAACCAAGUCAGUUGUUAAAGCGUAGAGCUUAACUCUAUAAGGGCAAUUGAAACUGGUUAGCUAGAGUGCGAUAGGGGCAAGGGGAAUUCCCAGUGUAGCGGUGAAAUGCGUAGAUAUUGGGAAGAACAUCGGUGGCGAAGGCGCCUUGCUGGGUCUGCACUGACACUGAGGGACGAAAGCUAGGGGAGCGAAAGGGAUUAGAUACCCCUGUAGUCCUAGCCGUAAACGAUGGAUACUAGGCGUUGUCCGUAUCGACCCGAGCCGUGCCGAAGC
RNAcentral lists this ribosomal RNA (747 nucleotides) under cyanobacterium enrichment culture clone 4_16_4.6.4_C10-T7. RNAcentral's name for it is "bacterial SSU rRNA". It matches the Rfam family "Bacterial small subunit ribosomal RNA", at positions 64 to 852 of the family's 1533-position model. The record is from RNAcentral. Lineage: Bacteria; Bacillati; Cyanobacteriota.